UUUAUCAUGCAACAUUGACAUAACAAUCUCUUGCACGUGAUCUUCUUGCACCGAACGCACUAAUAGGUAGUCUUAGAUGAUCGAAAUGAUCCAUUUCAAUAGAUGGAAUUUCUUUAAUAAGGAGAUUU
Molecule: non-coding RNA, 128 nt
Organism: Elaeis guineensis (African oil palm)
Lineage: Eukaryota; Viridiplantae; Streptophyta; Magnoliopsida; Arecales; Arecaceae
Source: RefSeq, a predicted model, not a curated record